Molecule: ribosomal RNA, 495 nt
Filed under: uncultured Glomeromycotina
Lineage: Eukaryota; Fungi; Glomeromycota
Description: partial small subunit ribosomal RNA
Rfam family: Eukaryotic small subunit ribosomal RNA
Source: RNAcentral
CCAAUAGCGUAUAUUAAAGUUGUUGUGGUUAAAAAGCUCGUAGUUGAACCUUGGGCCUGGCUGGCCGGUCCGCCUCACCGCGUGUACUGGUCCGGCCGGGCCUUUCCCUCUGUGGAACCCCAUGCCCUUCACUGGGUGUGGCGGGGAAACAGGACGUUUACUUUGAAAAAAUUAGAGUGCUCCAGGCAGGCCUUUGCUCGAAUACAUUAGCAUGGAAUAAUAAAAUAGGACGUGCGGUUCUAUUUUGUUGGUUUCUAGGACCGCCGUAAUGAUUAAUAGGGACAGUCGGGGGCAUCAGUAUUCCAUAGUCAGAGGUGAAAUUCUUGGACCUAUGGAAGACUAACUACUGCGAAAGCAUUUGCCAAGGAUGUUUUCAUUAAUCAGGAACGAAAGUUAGGGGAUCGAAGACGAUCAGAUACCGUCGUAGUCUUAACCAUAAACUAUGCCGACUAGGGAUCGGACGAUGUUAUAUUUUGACUCGUUCGGCACCUUACG